UUUUAUGAGAGUUUGAUCCUGGCUCAGGACGAACGCUGGCGGCGUGCCUAAUACAUGCAAGUCGAACGCUUCUUUUUCCACCGGAGCUUGCUCCACCGGAAAAAGAGGAGUGGCGAACGGGUGAGUAACACGUGGGUAACCUGCCCAUCAGAAGGGGAUAACACUUGGAAACAGGUGCUAAUACCGUAUAACAAUCAAAACCGCAUGGUUUUGAUUUGAAAGGCGCUUUCGGGUGUCGCUGAUGGAUGGACCCGCGGUGCAUUAGCUAGUUGGUGAGGUAACGGCUCACCAAGGCCACGAUGCAUAGCCGACCUGAGAGGGUGAUCGGCCACAUUGGGACUGAGACACGGCCCAAACUCCUACGGGAGGCAGCAGUAGGGAAUCUUCGGCAAUGGACGAAAGUCUGACCGAGCAACGCCGCGUGAGUGAAGAAGGUUUUCGGAUCGUAAAGCUCUGUUGUUAGAGAAGAAC
This 471-nucleotide ribosomal RNA is filed under the name Enterococcus faecium. RNAcentral's name for it is "bacterial SSU rRNA". It matches the Rfam family "Bacterial small subunit ribosomal RNA", at positions 1 to 450 of the family's 1533-position model. Lineage: Bacteria; Bacillati; Bacillota; Bacilli; Lactobacillales; Enterococcaceae. The record is from RNAcentral.